Molecule: ribosomal RNA, 478 nt
Filed under: uncultured bacterium
Lineage: Bacteria
Description: bacterial SSU rRNA
Rfam family: Bacterial small subunit ribosomal RNA
Source: RNAcentral
GACGAACGCUGGCGGCGUGCUUAACACAUGCAAGUGGAGCGACGAACCGGGGCUUGCCCCGGGGCAGAGCCGCGAACGGGUGAGUAACACGUGGGUAACCUGCCUCAAUGAUUGGGACAACCCGGGGAAACUCGGGCUAAUACCAAAUGUGUUCACUCCUUCUAAAGGGGGAGUGAGGAAAGGAAGCUUCGGCCUCCGCAUUGAGAUGGGCCCGCGGCCCAUUAGCUUGUUGGUGAGGUAACGGCUCACCAAGGCUUCGAUGGGUAGCUGGUCUGAGAGGACGAUCAGCCACACUGGGACUGAGACACGGCCCAGACUCCUACGGGAGGCAGCAGUGGGGAAUCUUGCACAAUGCGCGAAAGCCUGACGCAGCAACGCCGCAUGCGGGAUGACGGCCUUCGUGGUUGUAAACCGCUUUCAGCAGGGACGAAAAUGACGGUACCUGCAGAAGAAGCCCCGGCUAACUACGUGCCAGCAG